Molecule: ribosomal RNA, 508 nt
Filed under: uncultured bacterium
Lineage: Bacteria
Description: partial 16S ribosomal RNA
Rfam family: Bacterial small subunit ribosomal RNA
Source: RNAcentral
GACGAACGCUGGCGGCGUGCCUAAUACAUGCAAGUCGAACGCUUCUUUCCUCCCGAGUGCUUGCACUCAAUUGGAAAGAGGAGUGGCGGACGGGUGAGUAACACGUGGGUAACCUACCCAUCAGAGGGGGAUAACACUUGGAAACAGGUGCUAAUACCGCAUAACAGUUUAUGCCGCAUGGCAUAAGAGUGAAAGGCGCUUUCGGGUGUCGUUGAUGGAUGGACCCGCGGUGCAUUAGCUAGUUGGUGAGGUAACGGCUCACCAAGGCAACGAUGCAUAGCCGACCUGAGAGGGUGAUCGGCCACACUGGGACUGAGACACGGCCCAGACUCCUACGGGAGGCAGCAGUAGGGAAUCUUCGGCAAUGGACGAAAGUCUGACCGAGCAACGCCGCGUGAGUGAAGAAGGUUUUCGGAUCGUAAAACUCUGUUGUUAGAGAAGAACAAGGACGUUAGUAACUGAACGUCCCCUGACGGUAUCUAACCAGAAAGCCACGGCUAACUACGUG